UCAUAUGCUUGUCUCAAAGAUUAAGCCAUGCAUGUCUCAGUACAAGCCAAAUUAAGGUGAAACCGCGAAAGGCUCAUUAAAUCAGUUAUGGUUCCUUAGAUCGUACCCACAAUUACUUGGAUAACUGUGGUAAUUCUAGAGCUAAUACAUGCAAACAGAGCUCCGACCGGAGACGGAAGGAGUGCUUUUAUUAGAUCAAAAMCAAUCGGUGGCGGGUUCGCGCUCGUUAUCGUACAACUUGGUGACUCUGAAUAACUUUACGCUGAUCGCACGGUCAUCGCACCGGCGACGCAUCUUUCAAAUGUCUGCCUUAUCAACUGUCGAUGGUAGGUUCUGCGCCUACCAUGGUUGUAACGGGUAACGGGGAAUCAGGGUUCGAUUCCGGAGAGGGAGCCUGAGAAACGGCUACCACAUCCAAGGAAGGCAGCAGGCGCGCAAAUUACCCACUCCCGGCACGGGGAGGUAGUGACRAAAAAUAACGAUACGGGACUCAUCCGAGGCCCCGUAAUCGGAAUGAGUACACUCUAAACCCUUUAACGAGGAUCAAUUGGAGGGCAAGUCUGGUGCC
Molecule: ribosomal RNA, 568 nt
Filed under: Trigonopterus laevigatus
Lineage: Eukaryota; Metazoa; Arthropoda; Insecta; Coleoptera; Curculionidae
Description: SSU rRNA
Rfam family: Eukaryotic small subunit ribosomal RNA
Source: RNAcentral